CACGUUCUUUUUUUGUGUCAAUAUAUAAGAAUACCCACUUUCAUAUAGCAAAAAUAAAUUUUACCCACUCAAAUAGAAACUUAAAAAAAUACCCACUUUUUAUAUUAAAAGACUAAAUUACCUUUAAGAUUAAAAUUAAAAAAAUACCCACUCUAAAUCUUCUCUCACUCUGCAAAAAGCUCUCUCUCUCUACACUCUCUCUCUUUCUCUCUCUCCCCCCCCCCCUUCCCUUUUUCUUUCUCUUCCGGCGGCGGAUCGUCGUACUACGGCUAUGGCAGGAGGUGAGGGCGGCGGCUGAGGCGCAUUGCGGUGUGGCGCUCCUGCCGUGGAUGAACGCGAUCUCGAUCUCCACCUCUACAACGACGUUGUCGACGGCGCUGUCGUCGGAAGCAGAUCUGCUGUAGCAGAUAGAGAUUCCGAUCUAGUACGUGAGGAAAGCAGAUCUGCUGCAGGCGGCGGAGGCGGCGGUGAAGAUGCUGCUGGCGGUUGUCGUGAUGUCGAAUCCGACGAUCUGUAAAACGAAAUUUCAGAUCUGGAGCUGCCCAGCCAAGUUCGCCGGAGAGAAGGCGGUGGACGACGACGAGCUCGAGUACUUAGGGUCUCCGGUUGAUUAAUCUCGGUCAUUUAUUCUUUUUUAUCGAAUUUUGUGAUGUAUUGUCUUCUCAAACUAUUGGUUUGCUAUCCUUACCCAAAAAUCGGUAAUUAUAAUAUAUGUAUGUUGAGUAUUUUAUUCUUUGAUUUGUUAUAUGGAAUAAUUUUUGAUAUCCUCGUCUCCACUUUUCACUUUUACAAGAAUCCCUCUGCAAUUGAUCA
Molecule: long non-coding RNA, 813 nt
Filed under: Salvia miltiorrhiza (redroot sage)
Lineage: Eukaryota; Viridiplantae; Streptophyta; Magnoliopsida; Lamiales; Lamiaceae
Description: long non-coding RNA (SMIL_LNC014004)
Source: RNAcentral